Molecule: long non-coding RNA, 328 nt
Filed under: Mytilus galloprovincialis (Mediterranean mussel)
Lineage: Eukaryota; Metazoa; Mollusca; Bivalvia; Mytilida; Mytilidae
Source: RNAcentral
CAACAAAAUCCAGACCCUUUUUAAACAUAACAGAGACACCUGCACUUUUACUGUCUUUAUGACUGAAUAAGCACUUAUAUCCCCAUUCAUCCUCCCAGUAUUUUUCAAUGUCUUUAUUGCUAUGAGUUUCCUGAAAACACACUAUGGAAGUAUUUUUACUCCUAGCCCAAUCAAAAACAUCUGCCCUCUUUUUGGAGUUUGAAAAAAGACCCCUCACAUUCAUUGAUAAUAUCGUUACAUUAUUAUCCAUGAUUAUAUCUGAAGUGAUGAUUUAUAAAACAUAUAAGCAAGUUCAUAAGUACAAAUAUACAAUUGUAACAAAUAAGAC